This 384-nucleotide ribosomal RNA is filed under the name uncultured bacterium. RNAcentral's name for it is "bacterial SSU rRNA". It matches the Rfam family "Bacterial small subunit ribosomal RNA", at positions 66 to 495 of the family's 1533-position model. The record is from RNAcentral.
ACGAAGUAGCAAUACUUAGUGGCAGACGGGUGAGUAACAUGUAGGUAUCUGCCCUUUGGCCUGGAAUAACACGAGGAAACUUGUGCUAAUACCGGAUAAGUCUUUACGGAGAAAGCUUUAUGCACCAUUGGAUGAGCCUGCACUUGAUUAGUUUGUUGGUGGGGUAAUGGCCUACCAAGACUGUGAUCAAUAGCUGAUUUGAGAGGAUGAUCAGCCACAUUGGGACUGAGACACGGCCCAAACUCCUACGGGAGGCAGCAGUGGGGAAUCUUGCACAAUGGAGGAAACUCUGAUGCAGCGAUGCCGCGUGAGUGAAGAAGGCCCUUGGGUUGUAAAGCUCUUUCGUCGGGGAAGAAAAUGACUGUACCCGAAUAAGAAGGUCCG